RNAcentral lists this ribosomal RNA (1737 nucleotides) under Triticum aestivum (bread wheat). RNAcentral describes it as "partial small subunit ribosomal RNA". The record is from RNAcentral. Lineage: Eukaryota; Viridiplantae; Streptophyta; Magnoliopsida; Poales; Poaceae.
AUGGCGCCCGCCGCCGCCGCGGGGACCGCGCGCGGCCGGCGCUUCACCGCCCUGGUCCUCGCCAUCGCCGUGGCGCUCGCGCUCGCGCCCGCCGCGGGGAGGCCGGACAAGGAGACGCGGGAGAAGUUCUACGGGAGCCUCGUCGCCAACGGCACCCACAACGCCACCGCCGGGGACAACAGCAUCGCCGACAUGUUCGGCCGCGUGCUCGACAAGGAGUUCUCCGACAGCGACGCCUCCGAGGUACCGGACAAGAACAGCUUCAACAACAGCAUCUCAGAUCAUCAAGCUGUUCUGGAGACCGUAGCUGUUAUUACACACGACAAGAAGAAUGAUACACAGCAGGCAAAUUCCUCAAGACCUUUCCAAAUAGGUGACAUGUUUGGUUCUCAGAAUGAAAAUUCUGAUGACACGGAAACUGUGAUAGACAAAGAGGAUAAUGUUUUUGUGAUGUCAAAUCGUAAAACAAAGUAUCCAACACUUCAGUUAGAUUUAAGAUUAAUUAAAGAUCUGGUAGUUAUAAUUGUUUCAGCUACUGCCGGUGGUAUCAUAUUCUCUUGUUUGGGGCAGCCGGUUAUCGUUGGCUAUCUACUUGCUGGUUCUCUUAUUGGACCCGGAGGCUUGAACUUGAUCAAUGAAAUGGUGCAGGUGGAGACCUUUGCACAGUUUGGUGUGGUUUUUCUUCUUUUUGCACUUGGCCUUGAAUUUUCGUUGCCAAAGUUGAGAGUGGUUGGGCCUGUUGCUGUGCUUGGUGGUGUACUUCAGAUUGCUUUGUUCAUGUUCUUGUGUGGCCUAACUGCUGCGUUGUGCGGUGCUAAAUUAUCCGAGGGAGUAUUUGUUGGCACUUUCUUGUCAAUGUCAUCUACUGCAGUGGUUUCCAAGUUCUUAGUGGAAAAGGGUAGCACAAAUGCACUUCAUGGUCAAGUUACAAUUGGCACCCUUAUUCUUCAGGAUUGUGCAGUUGGCCUUCUGUUUGCUCUCAUUCCAGUUCUGGGUGGUUCAAGUGGCAUAUUUGGAGGAAUGAUGUCAAUGGGGAGACUGUUACUUGUACUGUCCAUAUUUAUAACUGUUGCAUAUAUGAUGACUUGGUCAUUCAUCCCUCGAUUCUUAAAACUGAUGAUCCAGUUAUCAUCACAGACAAAUGAACUCUAUCAGUUGGCUGCUGUCGCGUUCUGCUUGCUGCUAGCCUGGUGCAGUGAUUAUCUUGGAUUGAGUCUUGAACUGGGCUCAUUUCUUGCUGGCGUUAUGAUAUCCACCACAGAUUUUGCUCACCAUACUUUGGAGCAGGUGGAAGCAAUCCGUAACUUAUUUGCUGCACUCUUCCUUGCAAGUAUUGGCAUGCUCAUCCAUUUCAAGUUCUUAUGGAAUCACGUGGACAUAUUACUUGCAGCUGUUAUACUUGUUAUAAUAGUUAAGAGUAUAGUCAUAACAGCUGUCAUAAAAUCAUUUGGAUACAGCAUCAGAACAGCUUUCAUCGUUGGUCUAUCAUUAGCUCAGAUUGGAGAGUUUGCUUUUGUGCUUCUGAGCCGUGCUUCACAUCAUCAUCUUAUAGGGGGGAAAAUGUAUCUGUUAUUACUGGGAACAACUGCUCUUAGCUUGGUAACAACUCCCCUCAUUUUCAAAUUAAUUCCUGUGGUGACGCAACUCGGCAUCCUUAUGCGUUGGUUCCCCUCAGAAAGUGGUGUGCAGAAUGAGGAAAAGGCAACAAUGCUUGAUGUUUACAACAGAACACUCUGA